Molecule: small RNA, 35 nt
Filed under: Arabidopsis thaliana (thale cress)
Lineage: Eukaryota; Viridiplantae; Streptophyta; Magnoliopsida; Brassicales; Brassicaceae
Description: ATSL122580
Source: RNAcentral
AAAAAACACCAAAAAGAAUUCAAGCAGAGACAACA